This 440-nucleotide ribosomal RNA is filed under the name uncultured bacterium. Its description in RNAcentral is "partial 16S ribosomal RNA". It matches the Rfam family "Bacterial small subunit ribosomal RNA", at positions 338 to 795 of the family's 1533-position model. The record is from RNAcentral.
CCUACGGGAGGCAGCAGUAGGGAAUAUUGCUCAAUGGGGGAAACCCUGAAGCAGCAACGCCGCGUGGAGGAUGAAGGUUUUCGGAUCGUAAACUCCUUUUGUUAGAGAAGAUAAUGACGGUAUGUAACGAAUAAGCACCGGCUAACUCCGUGCCAGCAGCCGCGGUAAUACGGAGGGUGCAAGCGUUACUCGGACUCACUGGGCGUAAAGAGCGCGCAGGCGGGCUAGAAAGGCAGAUGUGAAAUCCUAUGGCUUAACCAUAGGAAUGCAUUUGAAACUGUUAUUCUAGAGUAUGGGAGAGGAAGGUGGAAUUCUUGGUGUAGGGGUAAAAUCCGUAGAGAUCAAGAGGAAUACUCAUGGCGAAGGCGACCUGCUAGAACAUAACUGACGCUGAUGCGCGAAAGCGUGGGGAGCAAACAGGAUUAGAUACCCCUGUAGUC